GUGGGUACAGCUCAGUGGUAGAGCACACGCUUCGCAUGCACAAGCGUGCACGAGGGCCUGGGUUCAAUCCCCAGCACCUCCA
RNAcentral lists this transfer RNA (82 nucleotides) under Camelus bactrianus (Bactrian camel). It matches the Rfam family "tRNA". Rfam says of the family: Transfer RNA (tRNA) molecules are approximately 80 nucleotides in length. Their secondary structure includes four short double-helical elements and three loops (D, anti-codon, and T loops). Lineage: Eukaryota; Metazoa; Chordata; Mammalia; Artiodactyla; Camelidae. RNAcentral also lists the same sequence under 2 other names. The record is from Rfam by way of RNAcentral.